Molecule: ribosomal RNA, 199 nt
Filed under: uncultured bacterium
Lineage: Bacteria
Description: partial 16S ribosomal RNA
Rfam family: Bacterial small subunit ribosomal RNA
Source: RNAcentral
ACGCUCGACACCUACGGGAGGUAGCAGUGGGGAAUAUUGCACAAUGGGGGAAACCCGUGAUGCAGCGACGCCGCGUGAGCGAAGAAGUAUUUCGGUAUGUAAAGCUCUAUCAGCAGGGAAGAAACUGACGGUACCUGACUAAGAAGCACCGGCUAAAUACGUGCCAACAGCCGCGGUAAUCUGAGCGGGCUGGCAAGGC